AACAAGGUUUCCGUAGGUGAACCUGCGGAAGGAUCAUUAUUGAAAUAAACCUGAUGGGUUGUUGCUGGUUCUCUAGGGAGCAUGUGCACACCUUGUCAUCUUUAUAUCUCCACCUGUGCACUUUUUGUAGACCUUUCAGGUCUAUGUUGCUUCAUUUACCCCAAUGUAUGUUAAUAGAAUGUUGUGCCUAUAUAAUAUAUACAACUUUCAGCAACGGAUCUCUUGGCUCUCGCAUCGAUGAAGAACGCAGCGAAAUGCGAUAAGUAAUGUGAAUUGCAGAAUUCAGUGAAUCAUCGAAUCUUUGAACGCACCUUGCGCUCCUUGGUAUUCCGAGGAGCAUGCCUGUUUGAGUGUCAUUAAUAUAUCAACCUUCUCUUUUUUGAGUUGUUUGGAUGUGGGGGUUUGCUGGCCACGAUUCAGCUCCCCUGAAAUGCAUUAGCAGAACAACCUGUUCAUUGGCGUGAUAAUUAUCUAUGCUAUUGAAUGUGAGGGCAGUUCAGCUUUCUAACCGUCCUUGGACAAUUCAUCAUUAAUGUGACCCCAAAUCAGGUAGGACUACCCGCUGAACUUAAGCAUAUCAAUA
The sequence is a ribosomal RNA, 583 nucleotides long. The stretch from base 203 to 356 matches the Rfam family "5.8S ribosomal RNA".